AUCACUUCUUGGCCUUUGGCUAAGAUCAAGUGUAGUAUCUGUUCUUAUCAGUUUAAUAUAUGAUAUGUUCUCUAUCUGAGGACAACAUAUUAAGGGAAUUUUUGGACCAGGGAGCUGGAAUAGGAGUUUUCUUCAUCCACUCCAUGCAUUGGCCUGGCCUUGCAAUGCCUCCAGGAACAGUGCGUACACA
Small nuclear RNA from Sorex araneus (European shrew), 190 nucleotides. Its record names the gene U2. It matches the Rfam family "U2 spliceosomal RNA". Rfam says of the family: U2 is a small nuclear RNA (snRNA) component of the spliceosome (involved in pre-mRNA splicing). Complementary binding between U2 snRNA (in an area lying towards the 5' end but 3' to hairpin I) and the branchpoint sequence (BPS) of the intron results the bulging out of an unpaired adenosine, on the BPS, which initiates a nucleophilic attack at the intronic 5' splice site, thus starting the first of two transesterification reactions that mediate splicing. The record is from Ensembl. Lineage: Eukaryota; Metazoa; Chordata; Mammalia; Eulipotyphla; Soricidae.